CUAUUUUAUGUAAUCUUGCGUCACCGUAAGCAUAGUUAUCUAGAAAGAAAAUCAUUGUGAGUUUUUUUUUAGCUCUUAGCUUAAAAUUUGAUCGUGAAUCAUUUCUAUUUCCUAUCUAUUUUACUGUUGCCAAAAUAUUAUCGAUAGAUUAAUAUUUGUGUAUUGGUUCUCUCACAAUCGCAUGAUCCUUCUUGGGUCUUUGAAGUUACUUCUUUCCCACAUUCGUAUGGGAUUAAUCUAUAGAUGCCUAUUAGUGUCUGUUUCUUUGAGUUUAUGUUGCUAUCAGAUUCGAUGUAUUUUUUGGGUUUAUGUUGUUGGCCGAUUCGGUUCAGAAUUGUAAGAGUACUUUGGUUUGGUUGAAUUACAAG
This 368-nucleotide long non-coding RNA is filed under the name Brassica napus (rape). RNAcentral describes it as "long non-coding RNA (BNAP_LNC019070)". Lineage: Eukaryota; Viridiplantae; Streptophyta; Magnoliopsida; Brassicales; Brassicaceae. The record is from RNAcentral.